RNAcentral lists this ribosomal RNA (691 nucleotides) under uncultured bacterium. RNAcentral describes it as "bacterial SSU rRNA". It matches the Rfam family "Bacterial small subunit ribosomal RNA", at positions 618 to 1315 of the family's 1533-position model. The record is from RNAcentral.
AACUGCCGGUGGAUACCGUCAGUCUGAGUAUGUCCAAGUAGCCGAAUGUGUAAUGUAGCGGGUGAAUGCUUAGAUAUUACACCAGAACACCGAUUGCGAAUGGCAGCUUACUGGACCAUUACUGACGCUGAUGCACGAAAGCGUGGGGAUCGUACAGGAUUAGAUACCUGGUAGUCCACGCCGUAACGAUGAUCACUCGCUGUUAGCGAUACACCAGUUAGCGGCUAGCAAAAGCAUUCACGUGAUCCACCUGGGGAGUACGGCUGCAAGGCUGAAACUCAAAGGAAUUGACGGGGGCCCGCACAAGCGGAGGAACAUGUGGUUUAAUUCGAUGAUACGCGAGGAACCUUACCUGGGCUUAAAUGUAGAGUGCAUUCAGCUGAAAGGCUGAUUUCCUUCGGGACUUUCUGCAAGGUGCUGCAUGGUUGUCGUCAGCUCGUGCCGUGAGGUGUCGGGUUAAGUCCCAUAACGAGCGCAACCCUUAUCGUUAGUUGCCAGCGGGUCAUGCCGGGAACUCUAACGAAACUGCCGGUGUAAACCGAGAGGAAGGUGGGGAUGACGUCAAAUCAGCACGGCCCUUAUGUCCAGGGCUACACACGUGUUACAAUGGCCGGUACAGAGGGCAGCUAUGCCGCGAGGCAAUGCGAAUCUCGAAAGCCGGUCUCAGUUCGGAUCGGAGUCUGCAACUCGA